Molecule: long non-coding RNA, 666 nt
Organism: Photinus pyralis (common eastern firefly)
Lineage: Eukaryota; Metazoa; Arthropoda; Insecta; Coleoptera; Lampyridae
Exons: 2
Source: RefSeq, a predicted model, not a curated record
UUCAAAUUUCCAAUAUUUCGAUGUUAUGUUGGUAGCACAGACAGUUGGCGGUUGGUAGCACAAGCAUGUCAAUUCACAACCGAUAUUUACCAGUGUUUAUUCCACAUUAAUUGUGAUUAAAUGAAUAAACAAAGCAUUUACGUUAAUUUAAUUAUUUUUACAAAUUUCUAAAACGCUUAGCCCAGUCUUAAGAAGUUCAUAACAUUUAAAAGAAGCUGCGCUAAAACUAAUAAGUACUAGUGCUUACGGCUUACACCUAUUUUGAGAAUUGGGUUGCAAUGUUUUCAUUUGCAAAUUGAUUUAUCAUAUUAAUUCCAUUACAUAUAAGAAUGAUAACAAGUUUGUUUGGAUAUCUACUUCUCGUUGGCUGUCGAUUACGAGGAGAGCAGCAAGAGGGCCGAUGAUUGCUCCGUGCAAAUCUACAAUUUGGUGUAUGCAGUGUCGUUUGAUUAUUAUGGUCUUACUACACGGAAGUAACUGAUGUCGGAAAUUUUCAUCAUAGAUAUGAGCAUAGAUAUCGACAAGAAACCGUUUUCAUAUGCGUACACCUCCUUUUCGGAAACUGUCAUCUUCAGAGAAAUAUACUUGCUUGUAGAUAUAUAAUUUAUGGAAUAAUGUAUACAGUUUAAUGUUAACAAUGGCAGAAAUAAUAAUAAUUACAAAACA